Molecule: long non-coding RNA, 598 nt
Organism: Anguilla rostrata (American eel)
Lineage: Eukaryota; Metazoa; Chordata; Actinopteri; Anguilliformes; Anguillidae
Exons: 3
Source: RefSeq, a predicted model, not a curated record
CUCGUCGGGGGCAAGUUGAUUUAUCUCCUGCUAUUUGUUUUUCGGCCGAGAGAGAUGACUGUUAAACCCACGGUGUGGCAUGCACAUUGCACAUGCAGUUCUGCACACAGGUAUUGUGAAGAAAGAACGAUGGUGGCACAAUGGACAAGCGAAAGACAAGGCGGAGGAGGAAGACUGAAUUACAGAAGAGAAUGGACACAGUGAGUGUUUCUGGAGAUUUAUGGCUGAUAUACAAGUGAGUUACAGAGCGAAUGUACAGAUAGGGGAAAGAUGUCAGAGCCUCACACAGCACUCCCCCCAUCCCUGCUCUGAACUUUCAUCAGCAUUGCCAUAAUUGCAUUGCCAUAGUUACAGAAAAGGCCCCACCUUUACCUUGUGUCUGAUAAACUCACCAGAGAGACAGAGAAAGAGAGAGAAAGAAAGAAAGAAAGAAAAGAGAUAGAGAAGAGAAGGGAGGGAUGGACUAUAAAAUGCAGAAAGUACAGGGUACUAAUAUGCCCUCAUGUGACAUCAGUGUGUUGCCCUCUGCCAAGCAUCUGUGUGUUCUUGUGAAAGUAAACAUGUCUGUGUAAGUAUGGGGCUGAGGCUGACUCGCUCU